CGCAAUGGGCGAAAGCCUGACGGAGCAAUACCGCGUGAGGGAGGAAGGCUCUUGGGUUGUAAACCUCUUUUCUCAGGGAAGAAGAUAUGACGGUACUUGAGGAAUCAGCCUCGGCUAACUCCGUGCCAGCAGCCGCGGUAAUACGGAGGAUGCAAGCGUUAUCCGGAAUGAUUGGGCGUAAAGGGUCCGCAGGUGGUAGUGUAAGUCUGCUGUUAAAGAAUCACGCUCAACGUGAUCAAAGCAGUGGAAACUACACAACUAGAGUACGGUAGGGGCAGAAGGAAUUCCUGGUGUAGCGGUGAAAUGCGUAGAUAUCAGGAAGAACACCGGUGGCGAAAGCGUUCUUCUAGACCCGUACUGACACUGAGGGACGAAAGCUA
RNAcentral lists this ribosomal RNA (380 nucleotides) under uncultured Aphanizomenon sp. RNAcentral's name for it is "bacterial SSU rRNA". It matches the Rfam family "Bacterial small subunit ribosomal RNA", at positions 367 to 762 of the family's 1533-position model. Lineage: Bacteria; Bacillati; Cyanobacteriota; Cyanophyceae; Nostocales; Aphanizomenonaceae. The record is from RNAcentral.